Non-coding RNA from Pelobates cultripes (western spadefoot toad), 289 nucleotides. NCBI's taxonomy places the organism in Eukaryota, Metazoa, Chordata, Amphibia, Anura, Pelobatidae. The record is from the annotation of a GenBank genome assembly.
GUCAGUGUGUGUCUGUAUGGGUCAGUAUGUGUGUCUGUAUGGGUCAGUGUGUCUGUAUGGGUCAGUGUGUCUGUCUGUAUGGGUCAUUGUGUGUUUUUGUAUGGGUCAUUGUGUGUGUCUGCAUGGGUCUGUGUGCGUCAGUCUACAUGGGUUAGUGCGUGUGUGUCAGUUUGCAUGUUCAGUGUGUGUCUACUUGGUUCAGUGUGUGUGUUAGUCUGCAUGAUUGGGUGAAGCUAAUGAGGCGGCAAAUUUGUUUUUCGCUUAGGGCGCCAAAAAUGCUUGCACUGGC